RNAcentral lists this long non-coding RNA (1238 nucleotides) under Polistes fuscatus (common paper wasp). RNAcentral's name for it is "uncharacterized LOC122521257, transcript variant X2". The record is from RNAcentral. Lineage: Eukaryota; Metazoa; Arthropoda; Insecta; Hymenoptera; Vespidae.
UGAUAGAGGAGGAGAGAGAAAGAGAGGAUUUGCGACGUUGCCGGCAUGCAGCCAGUGACGGCAAGCCGCUGCCGCGUAAUCGUAGUCGUAUUCGUAUUCCUAGAGCAAACACGAGGCCGCAGGAUCUCCGGCGGGCCGACGGCCAAUGAAGUGGGGUGGGGCGCGCGCGCACGAACGCGCGCGCGACCAACUCGAGUGCUGGGUCGUGACUAGGAGGAGGAUGAGAUGAGAAGGGUAAAAGAGAGAGAAACGAGAGAGGAAUGGAAAGAGGAAAGAGACUCGGGAAGAUCGACGAGGAAGAGAGAGGCGGGCAAGACGGAAGGCGGCAACGGGUGGCACACGCAUCGCGAGCGUGGCUGUGGCUGCCUCUUCUCUUUUCGCGUCUAUGUGUGUACAAGGAGGUAUAGGUUAUGUGGUUUGUGCGUGUGAGCGUCGGUACGUUACACCUGCGGGCGCGGCACGGUGGAUCGUGUGGGCGCGGUGGUGUCAUCUCUCGGCGAUCUGCAGAGUGACCUACCCACCCCCACCGACAAGUUCCGUUCCGUUCCGUUCUUCUUCGGAGGCACGUAAAGCCUAAACGAACCUCCACACAGCACACUACAUUCUCCCUCUAUCUCUUUUUCUCUUUCUUUCUUUCCCUCCUCAGCCCUCUGGAACUUUGCUAUCGGCGUACCGCCAACUUCCCCUUUCGUGCCUCAACACCCCACUAUUUCUACCGCUCGACUCGGCUUCACCGAAUGUCCACUUCGUUUCGUACCGAAUGAGCGAGAAAAAGAGAAAAGGAGGGAGAGAGAAAGAGUGAGUAGCACGGUGGGGGCGGGAAAGGAGAAAUCGCGGCAGGGAGGGCACGAAAGAAGGCAGAGGGCGAGGACAGAGAUACUGCCCCACAACGCUCUCUUGCUUUCCUGCCUCUUCGUUCACGGUCACACCCGCAGCGGUGCUCAUCCUUCAUAAGAACGCGCGCGCAGCAGCGCGCACACGAGCGUCGUCGCACGCACGCACGCCAUGACGUACGCAUGCGCCGAUAGCACUGCACUCUGGAGUAGGAGUUGGAGGAGAAGUAAAAGGAAAAGGGGAAGGGGUCUGAGGGAUAGACGGAAUAGUGGUAGGGAUGAAAACAGGUUGACUCAGUCGCGCGCGCGCGCACGCGUGAGAGAGGCAUCGUGCUGACCAUGCUGAAGAGUGGGAGGCAAUAGUACUCUGUUAAGUUCUUAUGGUGGGAGAAAAUUACAGCGCAA